This is a long non-coding RNA of Clupea harengus (Atlantic herring), 153 nucleotides long. RefSeq lists it as uncharacterized. The transcript is spliced from 2 exons. The record is from RefSeq and is a predicted model, not a curated record. NCBI's taxonomy places the organism in Eukaryota, Metazoa, Chordata, Actinopteri, Clupeiformes, Clupeidae.
AUCCCUUUCACCUGGCCAGAGCAGACAGACCUGGCGUGGCACGGAGAGACGUGUGGAUUUAUGACAGCAGCAGGCUUGAGUCUUAUCAUUCUGUAAUCUAUCAGAUGCUCACACACACACACACACACACACACACACACACACACACACACA